CGAAAGCCUGACGGAGCAAGACCGCGUGGGGGAAGAAGGCUCUUGGGUUGUAAACCCCUUUUCUCUGGGAAGAAAGUUGUGAAAGCAACCUGACGGUACCAGAGGAAUCAGCAUCGGCUAACUCCGUGCCAGCAGCCGCGGUAAGACGGAGGAUGCAAGCGUUAUCCGGAAUGAUUGGGCGUAAAGCGUCCGCAGGUGGCAGUUCAAGUCUGCUGUCAAAGACCGGGGCUUAACUUCGGAAAGGCAGUGGAAACUGAACAGCUAGAGUAUGGUAGGGGCAGAGGUAAUUCCUGGUGUAGCGGUGAAAUGCGUAGAGAUCAGGAAGAACAUCGGUGGCGAAGGCGCUCUGCUGGGCCGUAACUGACACUCAUGGACGAAAGCUAGGGGAGCG
RNAcentral lists this ribosomal RNA (391 nucleotides) under uncultured Oscillatoria sp. RNAcentral describes it as "bacterial SSU rRNA". It matches the Rfam family "Bacterial small subunit ribosomal RNA", at positions 376 to 770 of the family's 1533-position model. The record is from RNAcentral. Lineage: Bacteria; Bacillati; Cyanobacteriota; Cyanophyceae; Oscillatoriales; Oscillatoriaceae.